RNAcentral lists this small RNA (894 nucleotides) under Pongo abelii (Sumatran orangutan). RNAcentral describes it as "sense overlapping". The stretch from base 108 to 383 matches the Rfam family "SOX2 overlapping transcript exon 3". Lineage: Eukaryota; Metazoa; Chordata; Mammalia; Primates; Hominidae. The record is from RNAcentral.
ACCCUCUCUCUCUUCUCUCUCUCCCUCUCCCUCUCUCUCUCUUUUAAAAAAUCAGCCAUUUGGGGUUUUAAGCCAUAAACGAUUUUUCUUGUUGCAGGGGAUUGCAGUGGCAAAGCUAGGCUAGGUCUUGGAGGCUGGUGUAAGGCGAUGCGGGUGAAGGCAGGAGGCUGAUGGAAAGACUGGGGGGAAGAAAAGCCGAAAUGGAUUCACGGUGCCUUGGAUGAAGGACGAGAGGGGAACUGCAAGCUCCUUCAACUGGUUCUGUCCGGUGAGAAGUGAUCAAGCUUGGGCUGACAAGAGGCUCAGGGAGCCCUCACGUUCUUUCGCUUUUUUACCUGCCAAUCAAACUGCUACAAGACAACACCCUGAUCUGGCAUGGACAUAUCCAACUUAGAAAUAAUGUUUCAUUCAAGAUAAGGCUCGUGAUUUAGGAGAUUGUGACCUGGCUUGCAUCAUUCUAAGACUUCUAUCAUCUGUUUUCAAAACCCAAGGAGGACCUCAUUUUCUGUGUGAUAGUUCCUCAUGCUUUGCCAGCCACUGUGUCUUUAAGGAAGCUUGCCAAGAGUUCCUGGCUGGGAAGGACAGUUCGAGUUCAUCAUAGACAAUGAGCUGGCACCACAUUUUAAGUGACUCACCAACCUGGUUGCCCACUUCAAAAUGUCAAGAACCACACUAUCUAAUUGAAAGAACUGUGUUUUAGCAAAGUGUAAUUGGAUCACCUGGCAAGAUCAUCUCAAACUGUGUCUCUGACCUUGCCUUUCAGUGGCUGUUUUGAGCACAAGAGGAGAAAGGAAAUGAUUCCUGAAUUAUAUCUUGUUUUUAAAAAUUAAGAUUAAUUAAUACUUGGUUUUAUGUUCAUUCCAUUGUAGGAACUUCAUGAUUAUUACAAAACAG